Molecule: ribosomal RNA, 253 nt
Filed under: uncultured bacterium
Lineage: Bacteria
Description: partial 16S ribosomal RNA
Rfam family: Bacterial small subunit ribosomal RNA
Source: RNAcentral
UACAGAGGGCUCAAGCGUUGUCCGGAUUUAUUGGGCGUAAAGAGCGUGUAGGCGGCUUGGUAGGUCCGCUGUGAAAACUCGAGGCUCAACCUCGAGAUGUCGGCGGAAACCACUUGGCUAGAGUCCGGAAGAGGAGAGUGGAAUUCCUGGUGUAGCGGUGAAAUGCGCAGAUAUCAGGAAGAACACCUAUGGCGAAGGCAGCUCUCUGGGACGGUACUGACGCUGAGACGCGAAAGCGUGGGGAGCGAACAGG